GACGAACGCUGGCGGCGUGCUUAACACAUGCAAGUCGAACGGAAAGGCCCCUUUGGGGGUACUCGAGUGGCGAACGGGUGAGUAACACGUGCGUAACCUGCCCUUGACUUCGGGAGAACUUCAGGAAACUGGGGCUAAUACCGGAUAGGAAUCCUUGCUGCAUGGUGGGGGUGGGAAAGCUUCGGCGGUUUUGGAGGGACUCGCGGCUUAUCAGCUUGUUGGUGGGGUGGUGGCUUACCAAGGCUUUGACGGGUAGCCGGCCGGGGAGGGCGACCGGCCAACUUGGGGCUUGGAUACGGCCCAGACCCCCACGGGGGGCAGCAGUGGGGAAUAUUGCCCAAUGGGCGGAAGCCCGAUGCAGCCACGCCGCGGGCGGGAUGACGGGCUUCGGGUUGUAAACCGCUUUCAGCAGGGGCGAAGCUUGUGGUGACGGUACCUGCAGAAGAAGCACCGGCUAACUACGUG
RNAcentral lists this ribosomal RNA (465 nucleotides) under uncultured bacterium. RNAcentral's name for it is "partial 16S ribosomal RNA". It matches the Rfam family "Bacterial small subunit ribosomal RNA", at positions 28 to 507 of the family's 1533-position model. The record is from RNAcentral.